UAGGGAAUCUUCGGCAAUGGACGAAAGUCUGACCGAGCAACGCCGCGUGAGUGAAGAAGGUUUUCGGAUCGUAAAACUCUGUUGUUAGAGAAGAACAAGGACGUUAGUAACUGAACGUCCCCUGACGGUAUCUAACCAGAAAGCCACGGCUAACUACGUGCCAGCAGCCGCGGUAAUACGUAGGUGGCAAGCGUUGUCCGGAUUUAUUGGGCGUAAAGCGAGCGCAGGCGGUUUCUUAAGUCUGAUGUGAAAGCCCCCGGCUCAACCGGGGAGGGUCAUUGGAAACUGGGAGGCUUGAGUACAGAAGAGGAGAGUGGAAUUCCAUGUGUAGCGGUGAAAUGCGUAGAUAUAUGGAGGAACACCAGUGGCGAAGGCGGCUCUCUGGUCUGUAACUGACGCUGAGGCUCGAAAGCGUGGGGAGCAAACAGG
This 429-nucleotide ribosomal RNA is filed under the name Gemmatimonadota bacterium. RNAcentral's name for it is "Gemmatimonadetes bacterium partial 16S ribosomal RNA". It matches the Rfam family "Bacterial small subunit ribosomal RNA", at positions 355 to 776 of the family's 1533-position model. The record is from RNAcentral. Lineage: Bacteria; Pseudomonadati; Gemmatimonadota.